GUCGUGAGAUGUUGGGUUAAGUCCCGCAACGAGCGCAACCCUUGUCCCUAGUUGCUACGCAAGGGCACUCUAGGGAGACUGCCGGUGACAAACCGGAGGAAGGUGGGGAUGACGUCAAGUCCUCAUGGCCCUUAUGGGUAGGGCUUCACACGUCAUACAAUGGCCGGUACAGAGGGUUGCCAACCCGCGAGGGGGAGCCAAUCCCUAUAAAGCCGGUCGUAGUCCGGAUUGCAGUCUGCAACUCGACUGCAUGAAGUCGGAAUCGCUAGUAAUCGCGGAUCAGCAUGUCGCGGUGAAUACGUUCCCGGGUCUUGUACACACCGCCCGUCACACCAUGGGAGCGGGAUGUACCAGAAGUAGGUAGGCUAACCGCAAGGAGGCCGCUUACCACGGUGCGUUUCGUGACUGGGGUGAAGUCGUAACAAGGUAGCCGUAUCGGAAGGUGCGGCUGGAUCACCUCCUUUCUCGGAAACAGGGAUCAGGAAUCAGGGAUCAGGGAUCAAACCCGGAUCGCUGCCCUGCCAUCCCCAUUCCCAAGCUGCGAGUACCCACAACCUAUCGGUUGCACGACACUGUGCAGCACGACACGACACCGGGCCUGUAGCUCAGUUGGUUAGAGCACCGUCUUGAUAAGGCGGGGGUCGAUGGUUCGAAUCCAUCCAGACCCACCACGGACGCACCGGGGCUGUAGCUCAAUUGGGAGAGCGCCUGCUUUGCAAGCAGGAGGUCGUCGGUUCGAUCCCGUCCAGCUCCACCAGGUUCAGGUAUCAGAGGUCAGGGAUCAGGGAUCAGGGAUCAGAAGAUUCCAAAACACCUAUCGGUUGCAUGUCAGCACUCAGCAGUGCGCUUUCGAACGAAGUGAGAGCGCAGUGUUGAGAGCUGCAGUGUUCUUUAACAAUUAGGAAGGUAAGGGUUCAUCUGACUUGAUGAGAGUUGGAUGAGCAAUAGGGUUGAGUUGUAUCUUCAAAAGCCGGUCACCUUUUAAAAAGGGGGGUGAGCGGUGGCGCGAGCACAACGUAACGGUGGGUCCGAUGAGGGCUUACAGUUAUGGGGUCAAGCGACUAAGUGCAUGUGGUGGAUGCCUUGGCGAUUACAGGCGAUGAAGGACGUGGCAGCCUGCGAAAAGCUGCGGGGAGCUGGCAAACGAGCAUUGAUCCGCAGAUGU
Molecule: small RNA, 1165 nt
Filed under: uncultured beta proteobacterium
Lineage: Bacteria; Pseudomonadati; Pseudomonadota; Betaproteobacteria
Description: bacterial SSU rRNA
Rfam family: Bacterial small subunit ribosomal RNA (bases 1-464)
Source: RNAcentral